AGGAGAAGAAGAAGAAAAUGUUAAAGAAGAUGAUGGAAGAUAGUCUCGUUAAGUACUCCUUUAAGAACAAGGGUCUUGCGAAGACACAAGUCCCUCCUAGCACCAAUUCUGUUGGUGUAGAAUUUCACCAAUGUCGGAGAAGCUGGAGUUGAGGAGAUUGCAUCCACCGUCGGGACCUACAAGGGAUGUCUAAAUCGGAGUUGGGGGUACUCCGAUAAGAUCCUCCGAUGCUCAAGUC
Molecule: long non-coding RNA, 238 nt
Filed under: Elaeis guineensis (African oil palm)
Lineage: Eukaryota; Viridiplantae; Streptophyta; Magnoliopsida; Arecales; Arecaceae
Description: long non-coding RNA (EGUI_LNC070046)
Source: RNAcentral